This 274-nucleotide ribosomal RNA is filed under the name uncultured bacterium. RNAcentral describes it as "partial 16S ribosomal RNA". It matches the Rfam family "Bacterial small subunit ribosomal RNA", at positions 523 to 796 of the family's 1533-position model. The record is from RNAcentral.
AUACUGAGGGUGCAAGCGUUAAUCGGAAUUACUGGGCGUAAAGCGAGUGUAGGCGGCUUCGUAAGUCGGAUGUGAAAGCCCUGGGCUCAACCUGGGAAUUGCAUUCGAUACUGCUUGACUAGAGUAUGGUAGAGGGAAGUGGAAUUUCCGGUGUAGCGGUGAAAUGCGUAGAUAUCGGAAGGAACACCAGUGGCGAAGGCGACUUUCUGGGCUGCACCUGACGCUGAGGCGCGAGAGCGUGGGGAGCAAACAGGAUUAGAAACCCCGGUAGUCC